CUGUUGUUCGUAAAAAAUCUGUUGAAAUUACAAUUUUGAACUAAAAAUUGAAAGUCUUAGAGGUAUCAGAAAUCAAAAUUGAGUAAAUAUUUACAAUCAAUGUAAUUUUUAAAGCCUUAUGAGAAGUUUGGUAAAAUUUUGAUUCAGAAUGAAUUAAUUUGAUUUAAUUAAGAUAUGUAGAUAUAUAUAUAUAUAUAUAUAUGUUGAACUUAAGUCGACAAGGAGCUAGACUCAACAUUGUGCUGGAAAGGAAAGAAGAGAGAAAAGAAAGGAAAGAGAAGUCAAAGAAAGAGAGUUCAAGCUUGGAGGAAAGGAAAACAUAGGGCAAGUGGAGGAAUUGAAGGAGAUUUCAAGAAAUUAAGCUUAAGGUCACCUGCACGAGGGAUCAUGGCAUGGCCUAAAUCAUUGUGAGUAAUAAAUUUGUAAAGAUAUGUUCUUAAUUAUUAUUUGAAACAAUAUGAAUGUUAUACAUGUAUACGUAUUUCUGAAAUUGUAUUGUGAUAUAAAUGAGUUUCGAUUAAUGCUUUAA
This is a long non-coding RNA of Camellia sinensis, 529 nucleotides long. RefSeq lists it as uncharacterized. Lineage: Eukaryota; Viridiplantae; Streptophyta; Magnoliopsida; Ericales; Theaceae. The record is from RefSeq and is a predicted model, not a curated record.